UACAGAGGUCCCGAGCGUUGUUCGGAAUUACUGGGCGUAAAGGGCUCGUAGGCGGCCAACUAAGUCAGACGUGAAAUCCCUCGGCUUAACCGGGGAACUGCGUCUGAUACUGGAUGGCUUGAAUCCGGGAGAGGGAUGCGGAAUUCCAGGUGUAGCGGUGAAAUGCGUAGAUAUCUGGAGGAACACCGGUGGCGAAGGCGGCAUCCUGGACCAAUAUUGACGCUGAGGAGUGAAAGCCAGGGGAGCAAACGGG
RNAcentral lists this ribosomal RNA (253 nucleotides) under uncultured bacterium. RNAcentral's name for it is "partial 16S ribosomal RNA". It matches the Rfam family "Bacterial small subunit ribosomal RNA", at positions 524 to 776 of the family's 1533-position model. The record is from RNAcentral.